This 619-nucleotide long non-coding RNA is filed under the name Lepidothrix coronata (blue-crowned manakin). RNAcentral's name for it is "lncRNA (ENSLCOG00000016277.1)". Lineage: Eukaryota; Metazoa; Chordata; Aves; Passeriformes; Pipridae. The record is from RNAcentral.
AAUGUUCAGACAUUGCCUUUUACACUUACUUUCACUGCAAUUUAUAAUCCUUUUAGAGCACAAGACUGCUGACGUAGAAUUGGAAGAUGAAAGUCAGUCUGUUCUUCAUGAAACUCUCCAUUCCCAGCCUGGAGAGAGGCACGAAGAUGUAGAUGAAAGUAUAAGUGACCAGUGGCAAGUGAAGGAAGAAAUACAUGGAGAAACUUUUGAAGCUCCUACAACAGAUGACAUGCACAGAGGAUUAGAGAAUGAAAUGCCAGAAGCAUAUGAGACACCAGACUCAAUUCAGAAAGAUGCUGAUCUUUUGGCAGAUGGUCUUGAAGCAGUGGAGUCUGAGCCCUAUGAAGUUCCAGCUUCAGAUGAUUAUGUUGUAUCUAUGGAGGGAAGAGUAAAUGAUCCAGAAGCUCCAGGUGACUCUGAGGUAGUACUAGAAGAUGCUAUGGAACAUUACACAGAACCCAAACAUGAAAAGCAGACUGAGACUCAAGACACAGAUAAAGUUACUGAAGAUUUUGAUGUUGCUAAAGAUGUUUCAGGUACGAGUUUUUAUAGUUUGUGAAAGAAAAAAUUUAUAUUAAUAUAAUUAAAAAACAAGCAAAUGAAAAACAAAGCAGAUAAA